Molecule: long non-coding RNA, 2573 nt
Organism: Pongo pygmaeus (Bornean orangutan)
Lineage: Eukaryota; Metazoa; Chordata; Mammalia; Primates; Hominidae
Exons: 6
Source: RefSeq, a predicted model, not a curated record
AAGAAAGACAUUCUGUCUUUGUCCAUAGUGCCUGGCACAGAACUCCUGUUGAGGAACCCCUGUUCCCUCAAACCCCUGGAACACCACACAGAGAACUAUCUCCAGGUCUGGACUUCCCCUGACUUGGAGACAGCCUUAUUCUCAGAUCUCUCUCUCUUUUCAAGUGGACUAUCCUCUGUACAACCCAGAGAGCCCCAUCCAAAUAUCACUCAUUGUGGAAGAAAUCUGAUGCUAUGCCUUGAGGACACUCAAGUGGCCUAUGGAGAGGCGAACAUGUAAGGAAUUGAGCCUCCUAGUAACAGCUAAUGAGAAGCAGAGGGCUCUGCCAACAGCCAUGUUAAUGAGCCCUUGGGGAAGUGGACCCUCCACUCCCAACCCAGCAUUCAGAUGGCUGAGAAAGAUAAGAAACAUCUAUCUCAAGCACUAUGAGACUCCCUCCUCUCCAUCUCCAAGGGUCAGGCCACGGUCUUAGUCAUUGCCAAGAGCAUCACAGAAGGCCUCUGUCUCUGGUUCCUACCUGGCCCUUUCUAUGCUCGUUAACUGAUGCUGCAGCCUGACUUCUUCAAGACUAAGUUGGGCUGUAUGCUUGCAAUCAUGGGAGGAAAACAAAAGAGGGUAUAAACACAAUACAAUGCCUCGACAAAUCACUCCAUCUCAGGGGGUCAGAAAAUAAAUUAAAUGUUAGGAAAAACAGAAAAGAAGUAAGCAACAUAGUGCCAGCCUUUGGGUUCUUAGACACUCAAAAGGAAACAGAAAGUACAGAAACAAUACACCAGGAAAUAAAAGAGGGCAUUUUUAGAAGUACCAUUUAAAUUGCAAGGGCUGCAGGAAUCAACAGAAGGAAAUAAUCCGGGCGAGGGGGAGGGGACUUAAUAAGAAUAAUAAUUAUAUAUAUUCCCUCAAAUUUGUAUGGAAUUUAUAAAUUAUGAGGGAUUUUCACACAUUUAUAACUUCAUUUUAGACACUUACAAUGAAAUUAAGUAAAAUGGGGUUGGCGGGACAGAUGGUAACAUCUUUAUUUUACAGAUGAGGAACUUGGACUCAGCUAGCUUUGGCGACUUGUUGAGAAAGUCAGAACCAGUUAGUCGUGGAAUAUAAAAUUGAGCUCGGCUCUCUUCCUACCUAGUCUUUUCUCUGCUCCACUCCCACACUUCAGUGAGAGUUGCUUUCCUGAAGGAGUAAGUUCUAAAGCAGGAUUGGAAGUUCCUAUAGGGACAAAGAGAAGAGGCAUCCACGAGUGGCAAGGAGUGUGAAAGGGAUGAAAAACACAUAAGAAGAAAUGGAGACAGGCAGAAGGUCCCAGCUACAGGACAGAAAAGCCAGGGUGUGGGCUUCUGAGAGAUGAUGCUGAGUGCAUGAGCUGGACUUGUGGAAUACAUACAGAAGAUGCCUCCAAUUACUGAGAGGUUAAGAAGAACAUUAUAUUGCCUCACAAAUCCUGUUUGUUACUGUAUGGAAUUGUAAAAAUUAUGGAAGAAACUGAAGGAAUUACUCCUCUAAAGCAGAUACUCCUGGAAAGUUAAACAACUUGGCUAAUAAUCUCCUGCUGGAGUUGGACAAGAAGACCUCACCAAAGCUGAAAGAUAAGAGAAACAUUUGUUUGGGCUGAGACAGCUGUUUCAUGAAAUGCAACAUCAUAUCUCAUUUUUCUUCAUGAACUUCUCUCAUUUAACAAUUAGGCUGGAAGAACACACAUUACCAAUAGGUUCAGUCGUGUAACACUCAGAACCUGGAAAUAACGAGUUGGAAGUUUCAGAUCCUACAAAAUAAAUCAGUUACUCCAUCAAUUCUAUAAUAUAAGGCAAAGAAUCUGAAAAUUGAAGGAAGAUAUUUUGAACAACACUGUGCAAAAGCUAUUGCUGAGUUAGGUAUUCAGUUAAGCCAAACACCACGCCUGGUUCUCAGUUUGUUUUGCAAAAGCAUUUAUUCUACAUUUCAGAUAUGCACAUGUUCCAACUUGGGCUAGAAAGACUUAACUAAAAAUAACACCACUAUCACCAAGUGAUGCUAUGGUUGACCAAUACUCCAGGAUUUGAAAAAAAAUUCCCCAAAUGCUACAAAUUCCCUAGGAACUGGAAGCUUUUCCUCUCCUUAAGGUGAAAGACUGCUUCUCCUCUUGGUGUUUUGCCAUUAAAAAAAGGAAGUAUUUAGCAAACAACUAGCAGAUCCAUCAAAAGGUUAGGAUUCUUUUUAUUUUAGUGCUCUUUCUUAAUGGGCAAAAAUUGAUUGAUUAGUUCACCUGGAAUGUUCUUAGCCUUAGGGCAGAAACAGAGCUUUGUACGCAUUAGUGGACUGGAUUUAUAAAAGAAAAAAGUCCACAUUCAAGAAUACAGAGAAUUUCAAAAAUACAAGAAAAUAGAAAAAAGAAAAACAAGGUCUGGAAGCAUAUUAAAAUUCUUGUAUUCAUUAAAAAUCAAAUGGCUGUGUUUUCAGUUGUAUUGAGUUAUCAUAUGUGUACUGGUUCUUUGCCUUAGUUCCAAAUGUACUCAUAUUAUCAUCUCUAAAUCCAUCUGGAUAGUUUAUACAGUGAACCCUGGAAUCACCUUAGUUUCUCCAAACUCCAUCUACUUUUU